Phodopus roborovskii (desert hamster) is the source of this 479-nucleotide long non-coding RNA. RefSeq lists it as uncharacterized. NCBI's taxonomy places the organism in Eukaryota, Metazoa, Chordata, Mammalia, Rodentia, Cricetidae. The record is from RefSeq and is a predicted model, not a curated record. The transcript is spliced from 3 exons.
AUUCUUGCAUCUUUCAGAUCAGAUGUCUCACCAAUGCAGAACAGCUUCACAGCAGCCAGGCUUCCUGUGUGAGGACCACGCCACUUGCUUGCUGCCCUCUCUGCUUUGUGACGGCAAGAUGGACUGUGGUGAUGGCGGGGAUGAAUCUGCUACCUACUGUGGUCAAAUGCCCAACAGUCUCCCACAAAACUUGAUUUUCAAGUGUCCUGACCAGAAGACAUGGAUAUAUGUGGACAGGGUGUGUGACACAAGAAAUGACUGUGGUGACUGCUCAGAUGAAUCAGUUUCACAGUGCCCAGUGUGCUCAGGCUGGAGAUGUGACACUGUUUUCUUCGCUGACUGUGCCUGCAUUCCCAGAAGUCGAUGCAGAAACGGCAUCCAAGACUGUGCUGACUGGAGUGAUGAAACCCUGUGUGAUUAGGGCUAUAAUCGAGGUUUCGGGAAAGCUGAAAAAUGUCUUUUGCUUUAAAACUUCUCUC